GACGAACGCUGGCGGCAUGCCCAAUACAUGCAAGUAGAACGCAGUUGCGAACGGGUGAGUAACGAGUAGGUAACUGCCUCAAAGCGGGGGAUAACUAUUGGAAACGAUAGCUAAUACCGCAGACUGUGAGAUGGACCUGAGUUGUAUUAGCUAGUUGUUGAGGUAAAGGCUCACCAAGGCGACGAUACAUAUCCGACCUGAGAGGGUGAGCACCCCCCCUUGUACUGAGACACGGCCCAGACUCCUACUCUAAUCAGCAUUAUUUAAUCUUCGGAAAUUGACGGAAGUCUGACGAAGCAACGCCGCGUGAGUUAAGAAGUUUUUCGGAUCUUCAAACUCUGUUGUUAGAGAAGCGUUAACUAAUCAGAAAGGGACGGCUAACUACGUGCCAGCAGCCGCGGUAAUAC
RNAcentral lists this ribosomal RNA (407 nucleotides) under uncultured bacterium. RNAcentral describes it as "partial 16S ribosomal RNA". It matches the Rfam family "Bacterial small subunit ribosomal RNA", at positions 28 to 526 of the family's 1533-position model. The record is from RNAcentral.